This is a long non-coding RNA of Oncorhynchus tshawytscha (Chinook salmon), 494 nucleotides long. The record is from Ensembl. Lineage: Eukaryota; Metazoa; Chordata; Actinopteri; Salmoniformes; Salmonidae.
CCCCCUCCAUAAGGCCCUGCAUGGUAUUCACAUCCUCCUCAUCCCAACCCCCUCCAUUAGGCCCUGCAUGGUAUUCAGAUCCUCCUCAUCCCAACCCCCUCCAUUAGGCCCUGCAUGGUAUUCAGAUCCUCCUCAUCCCAACCCCCUCCAUAAGGCCCUGCAUGGUAUUCAGAUCCUCCUCAUCCCAACCCCCUCCAUAAUAAGGCCCUGCAUGGUAUUCAGAUCCUCCUCACCCCAACAACCCUCUAUAAGGCCCUGCAUGAUAUUCAGAUCCUCCUCAUCCCAACCCCCUCCAUAAGGCCAUGCAUGGUAUUCAGAUCCUCCUCAUCCCAACCCCUCCAUAAGUCCCUGCAUGGUAUUCACAUCCUCCUCAUCCCAACCCCCUCCAUAAGUCCCUGCAUGGUAUUCAGAUCCUCCUCAUCCCAACCCCCUCCAUAAGGCCCUGCAUGGUAUUCAGAUCCUCCUCAUCCCAACCCCCUCCAUAAGGCCCUGCA